CGGGAAGAGUAGGGAGAGUGGAUGGGCGUAGUAGAGCGUGAGUGCGAGACAUAGGGGUGGGGAUGGGAGGAAAAGCGGAGUGAGUGUGGCGGGGGGUCGGCGGGGAAGGGCCAUCGCCAAACGGAUAACAGCUACCCGGGGGAUAGCUGGCGUACCUACCCCGAGAGACCACAGCGACGGGGAGGUUUGGCACUUGGAUGUCGGCGCAUCACAGCCGGGGGCUGUAGUAGGUCCCAGGGGUUGGGCUGUUCGCCCAUUAAAGUGGUACGCGAGCUGGGUUCAGAACGUGGGGAGACAGUUCGGUCCCUAUCCGUGGCAGGCGUAGGAAAUUUGAGAAGACCUGUCCUUAGUACGAGAGGACCGGGAUGGACGUACCUCUGGUG
This 383-nucleotide ribosomal RNA is filed under the name Clostridioides difficile. Its description in RNAcentral is "bacterial LSU rRNA". It matches the Rfam family "Bacterial large subunit ribosomal RNA", at positions 2332 to 2714 of the family's 2925-position model. The record is from RNAcentral. Lineage: Bacteria; Bacillati; Bacillota; Clostridia; Peptostreptococcales; Peptostreptococcaceae.